ACUAAGUUUACCGACUCCUUGUGGAGUUGGUGAUCCUUCUCAAAGUUUUGAAGCAACCCCAGUAACCCAUGGUAGUUUACUUCAGGCUUUGUCAUUCUAUAAUGAGUGAGGAAUGGGAGAUAAGACUUGGGCAGUGAGUUCAGUAUUGCAUCUUUCCCAAGCUGCUCAUGCAAGGAAAAGCCGAGCUUGCUCAAUCGUUCCAUCAGCUCGAUCAUGUACAAUACAUGAUCAGUGACAGAGGCACCAUCCCAUAUUUUGGCGUUGA
Molecule: long non-coding RNA, 265 nt
Filed under: Elaeis guineensis (African oil palm)
Lineage: Eukaryota; Viridiplantae; Streptophyta; Magnoliopsida; Arecales; Arecaceae
Description: long non-coding RNA (EGUI_LNC005101)
Source: RNAcentral